Non-coding RNA from Salmo salar (Atlantic salmon), 2402 nucleotides. NCBI's taxonomy places the organism in Eukaryota, Metazoa, Chordata, Actinopteri, Salmoniformes, Salmonidae. The record is from RefSeq and is a predicted model, not a curated record.
AGGGCCAGAUCCAGAACAGUUUCUACUAGACCAGGCCCAGAUCCAGAACAGUUCCUACUAGACCAGGGUCAGAUCCAGAACAGUUCCUACUAGACCAGGGUCAGAUCCAGAACAGUUCCUACUAGACCAGGGUCAGAUCCAGAACAGUUCCUACUAGACCAGGGUCAGAUCCAGAACAGUUCCUACUAGACCAGGGGCAGCUGUCAGCGCUCAACAGCUGAGCCCGAAAACCAGCUCUUCUCUCAUUCUCACCCUCCCUCUGUUCCACUAGACUUCCGAUCAUGUGUUCUGUCUGUGGGUAUAAACAUCUGCUUUCCCUUUAACAUAUCUGUCCCAUGCGUUUUAUGAAGGCAUAUCAUCAUUCAAUAUCGUUGUUCACUGAAAGUCAAACGCACACAUCCAAGUUUCCUGCUGCGUUAUUUUAGCUAGAGAGUGUGUAGAUGGAUAGACAUGACCCACACGUGUUUAUCUAACGCUAGUAUCAUUCAAUCAGCUCAGCAGCUGAUCCUGUUGAAACACCAGAUCUUCCUGUAAUGGUGACAGAGUUGUCAUCUGGGGUGUGUGGAUCCAGAAUGUACUAGUGUUGAUAACUCACUGAUAUCCGGAUUGGUUAUCCAAGUCACUGUGAUAUGUCGUCAGGGGUAACCAAAGAACUAAGGUUUCAUAUCUGCUGUUUUAACUGAUAUCUUAUGUUGCUUGUGUGUGUGUGUGUGUAUGUGUGUGUAUCUGUGUGUGUGUGUGUACAUAUUAUAUGUGUGUCAAAGUAAACAUAGUGCCUAGGCCACGAGUCCUCCUGAACUUUUGGGCCGUCUGCAAACAAAUAAUGAAUUGAACAUGAAUUGAUGAAUCAUGAAUUUGAAGAUGUACAGUACGUAUGACUGUGGAUGCUAUGUUGCCCAUGAAGGCUUCAUUAGCCUGUUGUUGGUGGUGUACUGUAACACUGUGGAAUGACAGACAACCCCUCCACUGAAACUAUUGGGACUGUUGCCAUUGCUGACUGACUGAAUCAUGCUUCUUGCACUGGAGUGGAUCAACCCUCGCAGAGUUCCUCAGACAAGACUUCUGUCUUCCAUUCAGGACAAAUGAAACAUAUACUAUCCUAUUUGUGCGUGUUUCUCGACUGUCCUACAUUGUGCCUCUCAAGGGGGUGGAAACUGAGGAGUCCAUGUUGGAUCUAUGCUGUGUCAACUAUCUGAAUGAAGCGACUAGGCUUCCUCUGGGUCGUAUUCACUAGGCACAAAAUGGAAGAAAAUGGACUGAAAAGGGGAAGGAGUACAUGAACUUGUCCAAUAAGAAACUCUGGUUUUUGUUUUGCGAAACAUUUUCCGUUGCAGAACGUUUUGCUACGGUGUACACUAAUGAAUAUGACCCCGGUUGUGAGGAUUACUUCACUGAGUAUACAAAACAUUAAGAACACAUGCUCUUUCCAUGAGAUAGACUGACCAGGUAAAUCCAGGUGACAGCAAUCCCUUUUUGAUGUAACUUGUUAAAUCCACUUGUAGAUGAAAGGGAGGAGACAGGUUAAAGAAGGAUUUUUAAGCCUUGAGACAUGGAUUGUGUAUGUGUGCCAUUCAGAGGGUGAAUGGGUAAGACAAAAUAUUUAAGUGCCUUUGAACGGGGUAUGGUAGUAGGUGCCAGGCGCACCGGUUUGUGUCAAGAACUGCAACGCUGCUGGGUUUUUCACAUGCAACAGUUUCCUGUGUCAAUCAAGAAUGUUCCACUACCCAAAGGACAUCCAGCCAACUUGACACAACUGUGGGAAGCAUUAGAGUCAACGUGGGCCAGCAUCCCUGUGGAAUGCUUUCAACUUCUUGUAGAGUCCAUGUCCUGAGAAGUUAGGCUGUUCUGAGGGCAAAAGGAGGUGCAACUCAAUAUUAGUAAGGUGUUCUUAAUGUUUGGUAUACUCAGUGUAUACUAUAAUGCAUUGUGCCUCUCAAGGGGGUGGAAACUGAGGCUAGACUGGGCCUGACUGAAGGCUGGCUGGCCUGAUGCAUUAUGACCUGAAGCUCACAGGCAUUUACAAUGCCCUCCACCAAUACCCUGGACUGUUACUGUUAGGUUGAAUGCCCUCCUCCAAUCCCCUGGACUGUUACUGUUAGGUUGAAUGCCCUCCACCAAUACCCUGGACUGUUACUGUUAGGUUGAAUGCCCUCCACCAAUACCCUGGACUGUAACUGUUAGGUUGAAUGCCCUCCUCCAAUCCCCUGGACUGUAACUGUUAGGUUGAAUGCCCUCCACCAAUCCCCUGGACUGUUACUGUUAGGUUGAAUGCCCUCCACCAAUCCCCUGGACUGUAACUGUUAGGUUGAAUGCCCUCCUCCAAUCCCCUGGACUGUAACUGUUAGGUUGAAUGCCCUCCACCAAUACCCUGGACUGUAACUGUUAGGUUGAAUGCCCUCCUC